GUAGGUGAACCUGCGGAAGGAUCAUUAUCACGUAUCCACGUAUAAACCAAACGCGAACUGUGUAAACACCUUCAGAUCUUGAUGCUGAGUAGUGUCUGUUGGCUUCUGGUGGAUUUGACAACGACUACUCAAUUGUUGACUGCUUUCGGGCUAUCAUCUAAAAUGGCGCUUGAUCUGAUUGUAUCCAAACCUCACCAUUUUCAUCAAUAAUUCAUUUUAUUGAUGAUUAUUAACCACUUGAACCACAAUCGUUUUUCUUUGUUUGACCUGAAUUGUUUCUUACUCUGGCGCCUUCGGCUUCGGAGAAGAAAUUCUUUACGAAACAAAAGAACAACUCUUAGCAACGGAUAUCUUGGUUCUC
RNAcentral lists this unclassified non-coding RNA (361 nucleotides) under rhizosphere metagenome. RNAcentral's name for it is "partial ribosomal RNA internal transcribed spacer region". The record is from RNAcentral.